UCCUGUCAGUUCAACACUGCAGGACUCACAUCUGUCAGUCAACACAGCAGAAAGCACAACCACCAUGACUCUCAUCACCAUCCUCAUCUGGAUGCUGACCUGCUGCUGUUUUACAGGAUGCAGCGGUCAGAUGACUGUGACUCAACCUCCAGUAGUGACAUCUACUCCUGGAUCCACUGUCACUCUGACCUGUAGGGCCAGCCAAGCUGUUGCUGGCUGUGGUGAUGGUCAGUGUAUGUUCUGGUAUCAACAGAAAUCUGGACAAACUCCAAAGAUCCUAAUUCGACAUGUGAGCAUAAGACAUUCAGGAACACCAUCUCGAUUUACUGGCAGUGGAAGCAGCUCUGACUUCUCUAUGACCAUCAGUGGAGUUCAGGCUGAAGAUGCAGCAGUUUACUACUGUAAGAGUGUCCAUGCAAUAAACAGUGCUGCAGUGUUCACACAGUGAUUUGUAGUCAUACAAAAACCUCCCUCAGUCAGACUGCAGAGACACUGAGCUGUUACAGCAGGAACUGACUGCAGCUGCUGAAGAGGAA
Non-coding RNA from Oreochromis aureus, 536 nucleotides. Lineage: Eukaryota; Metazoa; Chordata; Actinopteri; Cichliformes; Cichlidae. The record is from the annotation of a RefSeq genome assembly.